ACUCGAGUGGCGAACGGGUGAGUAACGCGUGGGUGAUCUGCCCUGCACUUCGGGAUAAGCUUGGGAAACUGGGUCUAAUACCGGAUAGGAGCCAUUUUUAGUGUGAUGGUUGGAAAGUUUUUCGGUGUAGGAUGAGCUCGCGGCCUAUCAGCUUGUUGGUGGGGUAAUGGCCUACCAAGGCGGCGACGGGUGGCCGGCCUGAGAGGGUGGACGGCCACAUUGGGACUGAGAUACGGCCCAG
RNAcentral lists this ribosomal RNA (241 nucleotides) under uncultured Actinomycetales bacterium. Its description in RNAcentral is "partial 16S ribosomal RNA". It matches the Rfam family "Bacterial small subunit ribosomal RNA", at positions 89 to 334 of the family's 1533-position model. The record is from RNAcentral. Lineage: Bacteria; Bacillati; Actinomycetota; Actinomycetes; Actinomycetales.